GAUGAAGAACGCAGCGAAAUGCGAUAAGUAAUGUGAAUUGCAGAAUUCAGUGAAUCAUCGAAUCUUUGAACGCACAUUGCGCCCGCUAGUAUUCUGGCGGGCAUGCCUGUCCGAGCGUCAUUUCAACCCUCAAGCCCCCGGGCUUGGUAUUGGUGGCAGGCCUUUGAUGGCCUCCCCCGAAAAACAGCGGCGGAUAGUUUGGAUUCCCAGCGCAGUGACUUUUAAAUUCUCGCUGAAAAGGAUCCCCAGGCUCUCCUGCCGGACAACAAAAACAUUUUUUCUAUGGUUGACCUCGGAUCAGGUAGGGAUACCCGCUGAACUUAAGCAUAUCAAUAAGCGGAGGA
This 344-nucleotide unclassified non-coding RNA is filed under the name soil metagenome. RNAcentral's name for it is "partial contains 5.8S ribosomal RNA, internal transcribed spacer 2, and large subunit ribosomal RNA". The stretch from base 1 to 120 matches the Rfam family "5.8S ribosomal RNA", at positions 35 to 154 of the family's 154-position model. The record is from RNAcentral.